UACGUAGGUGGCGACCGUUAUCCGGAGUGACUGGGUGUAAAGGGUCCGUAGGCGGGAGGACAAGUCUGACGUGAAAGCGCCUGGCUCAACUAGGCGACUGCGUUGGAAACUGCUUUUCUUGAAUCACGCAGAGGUCGGCGGAAUUCCCGGUGUAGUGGUGGAAUGCGUAGAGAUCGGGAGGAACCUCGAAAGCGAAGGCAGCCGACUGGGGGAUGAUUGACGCUGAGGGACGAAAGCGUGGGGAGCGAACAGG
This 253-nucleotide ribosomal RNA is filed under the name uncultured bacterium. RNAcentral describes it as "partial 16S ribosomal RNA". It matches the Rfam family "Bacterial small subunit ribosomal RNA", at positions 524 to 776 of the family's 1533-position model. The record is from RNAcentral.